Molecule: long non-coding RNA, 211 nt
Filed under: Homo sapiens (human)
Lineage: Eukaryota; Metazoa; Chordata; Mammalia; Primates; Hominidae
Description: HSALNT0126308
Source: RNAcentral
CCGGAGCGGCUCUGAUUCAUGGUGGAGGUUGCACUGAACCGAGAUCACGCCACUGCACUCCAGCCUGGGCGACAGAGCAACACUUGGUCUCACAAAAAAAAAGAACGUUGAUUUGAUGGGUGAGGUACUUGGAAACCCACGAAAUCUAAGGAACAGUUGAGCUGUGGAGAGGAAAAGAAUUAAGAGGCAAGAUAAUUGUUUUCAAGUGUUG